GUGCUCUCUUUGGCAGCACAUAUACUAAAAUUGGAACGAUACAGAGAUUAGCAUGUCCCCUCUGCAAGAAUGACAUGCAAACUCAUGAAGCAUUCCAUUUUUUU
Molecule: small nuclear RNA, 104 nt
Organism: Artibeus jamaicensis (Jamaican fruit-eating bat)
Lineage: Eukaryota; Metazoa; Chordata; Mammalia; Chiroptera; Phyllostomidae
Source: RefSeq, a predicted model, not a curated record